Molecule: ribosomal RNA, 253 nt
Filed under: uncultured bacterium
Lineage: Bacteria
Description: partial 16S ribosomal RNA
Rfam family: Bacterial small subunit ribosomal RNA
Source: RNAcentral
UACGGAGGGUGCGAGCGUUGUCCGGAAUCACUGGGCGUAAAGGGCGCGUAGGCGGCGCGGAUAGUCGGCGGUGAAAGCCCGGAGCUCAACUCCGGGUCGGCCGUCGAUACUUCCGGGCUUGAGCACUGUAGAGGCAGAUGGAAUUCCGGGUGUAGCGGUGAAAUGCGCAGAUAUCAGGAAGAACACCCGUGGCUAAGGCGGCUCUCUAGUACGGUACUGACGCUGAGACGCGAAAGCGUGGGGAGCGAACAGG